GACGAACGCUGGCGGCGUGCUUAACACAUGCAAGUCGAACGCUGAACCCGCUUCGGUGGGGGAUGAGUGGCGAACGGGUGAGUAACACGUGGGCAACCUGCCCCCGGCUCUGGGAUAACUCCAAGAAAUUGGGGCUAAUACCGGAUGUGACCGCUGGCCGCAUGGUCUGGUGGUGGAAAGGGUUUCCGGCUGGGGAUGGGCCCGCGGCCUAUCAGCUUGUUGGUGGGGUAGUGGCCUACCAAGGCGACGACGGGUAGCCGGCCUGAGAGGGUGACCGGCCACCCUGGGACUGAGACACGGCCCAGACUCCUACGGGAGGCAGCAGUGGGGAAUAUUGCGCAAUGGGCGGAAGCCUGACGCAGCGACGCCGCGUGGGGGAUGACGGCCUUCGGGUUGUAAACCUCUUUCAGCAGGGACGAAGCGCAAGUGGCGGUACCUGCAGAAGAAGCACCGGCCAACUACGUG
This 465-nucleotide ribosomal RNA is filed under the name uncultured bacterium. RNAcentral's name for it is "partial 16S ribosomal RNA". It matches the Rfam family "Bacterial small subunit ribosomal RNA", at positions 28 to 507 of the family's 1533-position model. The record is from RNAcentral.